Molecule: ribosomal RNA, 377 nt
Filed under: uncultured bacterium
Lineage: Bacteria
Description: bacterial SSU rRNA
Rfam family: Bacterial small subunit ribosomal RNA
Source: RNAcentral
UAAGACAGAGGGGGCAAGCGUUGCUCGGAAUCACUGGGCGUAAAGGGCGCGUAGGCGGGAUGGCAAGUCAGUCGUGAAAUCUCUCGGCUCAACCGAGAAACGUCGGCUGAUACUGCCGUUCUUGAGGGAUGCAGAGGAGACUGGAAUUCCCGGUGUAGCGGUGAAAUGUGUAGAGAUCGGGAGGAACACCGGUGGCGAAGGCGGGUCUCUGGGCAUUUCCUGACGCUGAGGCGCGAAAGCGUGGGGAGCAAACGGGAUUAGAUACCCCGGUAGUCCUAGCCGUAAACGAUGGACACUAGGUGUUGGUGGUAUCAACCCCGCCAGUGCCGAAGCUAACGCAUUAAGUGUCCCGCCUGGGGAGUACGGCCGCAAGGCUA